AGUCGAGCGGACAGAAGGGAGCUUGCUCCCGGAUGUUAGCGGCGGACGGGUGAGUAACACGUGGGUAACCUGCCUGUAAGACUGGGAUAACUCCGGGAAACCGGAGCUAAUACCGGAUAGUUCCUUGAACCGCAUGGUUCAAGGAUGAAAGACGGUUUCGGCUGUCACUUACAGAUGGACCCGCGGCGCAUUAGCUAGUUGGUGAGGUAACGGCUCACCAAGGCGACGAUGCGUAGCCGACCUGAGAGGGUGAUCGGCCACACUGGGACUGAGACACGGCCCAGACUCCUACGGGAGGCAGCAGUAGGGAAUCUUCCGCAAUGGACGAAAGUCUGACGGAGCAACGCCGCGUGAGUGAUGAAGGUUUUCGGAUCGUAAAGCUCUGUUGUUAGGGAAGAACAAGUGCAAGAGUAACUGCUUGCACCUUGACGGUACCUAACCAGAAAGCCACGGCUAACUACGUGCCAGCAGCCGCGGUAAUACGUAGGUGGCAAGCGUUGUCCGGAAUUAUUGGGCGUAAAGGGCUCGCAGGCGGUUUCUUAAGUCUGAUGUGAAAGCCCCCGGCUCAACCGGGGAGGGUCAUUGGAAACUGGGAAACUUGAGUGCAGAAGAGGAGAGUGGAAUUCCACGUGUAGCGGUGAAAUGCGUAGAGAUGUGGAGGAACACCAGUGGCGAAGGCGACUCUCUGGUCUGUAACUGACGCUGAGGAGCGAAAGCGUGGGGAGCGAACAGGAUUAGAUACCCUGGUAGUCCACGCCGUAAACGAUGAGUGCUAAGUGUUAGGGGGUUUCCGCCCCUUUAGUGCUGCAGCUAACGCAUUAAG
Molecule: ribosomal RNA, 823 nt
Filed under: Bacillus sp. (in: firmicutes)
Lineage: Bacteria; Bacillati; Bacillota; Bacilli; Caryophanales; Bacillaceae
Description: bacterial SSU rRNA
Rfam family: Bacterial small subunit ribosomal RNA
Source: RNAcentral